UUCGGAUGAUUCUUGAUUGACUGAGCGGCGGACGGGUGAGUAACGCGUGGGUGACCUGCCCCAUACCGGGGGAUAACAGCUGGAAACGGCUGCUAAUACCGCAUAAGCGCACGGUGUCGCAUGACACAGUGUGAAAACACUCCGGUGGUAUGAGAUGGACCCGCGUCUGAUUAGCUAGUUGGCAGGGUAACGGCCUACCAAAGCAACGAUCAGUAGCCGACCUGAGAGGGUGACCGGCCACAUUGGGACUGAGACACGGCCCAGACUCC
RNAcentral lists this ribosomal RNA (269 nucleotides) under uncultured Lachnospiraceae bacterium. RNAcentral describes it as "partial 16S ribosomal RNA". It matches the Rfam family "Bacterial small subunit ribosomal RNA", at positions 73 to 339 of the family's 1533-position model. Lineage: Bacteria; Bacillati; Bacillota; Clostridia; Lachnospirales; Lachnospiraceae. The record is from RNAcentral.